Molecule: long non-coding RNA, 559 nt
Filed under: Homo sapiens (human)
Lineage: Eukaryota; Metazoa; Chordata; Mammalia; Primates; Hominidae
Description: non-protein coding lnc-CALN1-1:19
Source: RNAcentral
UUGAACCUCGGAGGCGGCCGCGGGCGAGGGGCGGGGCCGAAGGGGCCGGGACCGCCGCCCCAGCUCGAGGACCCGUUAGACCGGCAAACCGCAGUCCCUGCCCCGCGGGCUUCCUUUACUUUUUGGGAGUGGGGGGCGGUUUCCCUGCUUUUUCCACCACAGCCCCUCCUCCCGCCGCAAUGUGGCUGAUGCUCAUAAAAAGUUGUAUUAAAGAGCUGACUGCAGCCGAGAAUCGAUCAACAAAAGCGACCAGCCUCUCUGGGUCUAUCCACGGCCUUCUCAACAGAUGACUUCAAGUUGAUUUCGUGCUUUAUUUCUUAAGAAUAGUGACUAACCUAAGGGAUCUGAUUCAAUUUAUUAGGAACACAGUGCCACCUUCCAAAAUUACUUACCUAAGAGGACUGAGCCUGCUGUCCCUGGAGCAGUUAGCUAAAACAGUGCCUCAGUACGGAGCGUACCUGUGUUAACUUCUAGAGUGCUGUUUCCGGCAGCUGCUGAAAUCCACGCUGAGGUUAUCAAGCUCAUCCUACAAAAUAAAGCAAGUUCUUCGCAAUUUAAA